UUGGAUGAGAUGGUAAAUGCUGCUCUCUCCGGGGCAGGAAUGCUGUUGGAGCAAAAAACUUGGACCUUCAAGUCAAGAAAGCCAAAUAUGAUCCAAGUCACUGGCUGUACUGAAUUAAAGUUCUCCUUCAAUGAACUGAAAACACCUUAAGGAAGAUGAAAGCUGACUAUUAUAGAGACACACCGAAAUUCUGAGGGAAGAAUUAAGAGGCUGCCCAGAAGGAUAAUUGGGUUUUAAAGYGCUGAAAGCGACUCUGGAGGAGCAGGUCCUGGAAGGCUCUCACAGCAGCGCUGGACGUUACCUCCCAGCAACCUGCACCAGCAGGACAGACCUGCCCUCCA
Molecule: long non-coding RNA, 341 nt
Organism: Nothoprocta perdicaria
Lineage: Eukaryota; Metazoa; Chordata; Aves; Tinamiformes; Tinamidae
Exons: 2
Source: RefSeq, a predicted model, not a curated record